GAAGAAGUGAAUUAAGGGCAUUUGGUGGAUGCCUUGGCAUGCACAGGCGAAGAAGGACGUGAUACGCUGCGAAAAGCCGUGGGGAGCUGCGAAUAAGCUUUGAUCCAUGGAUCUCCGAAUGGGGCAACCCACCUUAAAUGCUUGGAAAAUCCAAACCGUCUUUGACGGCUUGGGUUUCCAAGCAUUGUGAUAAGGUAUCUUACUUUCGAAUACAUAGGGGUAAGAAGCGAACGC
This 234-nucleotide ribosomal RNA is filed under the name Agrobacterium radiobacter DSM 30147. Its description in RNAcentral is "partial 23S ribosomal RNA". It matches the Rfam family "Bacterial large subunit ribosomal RNA", at positions 1 to 186 of the family's 2925-position model. The record is from RNAcentral. Lineage: Bacteria; Pseudomonadati; Pseudomonadota; Alphaproteobacteria; Hyphomicrobiales; Rhizobiaceae.